GAUGAACGCUGGCGACGUGCCUAAUACAUGCAAGUAGAACGCUGAAGCUUGGUGCUUGCACCGAGCGGAUGAGUUGCGAACGGGUGAGUAACGCGUAGGUAACCUGCCUCUUAGCGGGGGAUAACUAUUGGAAACGAUAGCUAAUACCGCAUAAAAGUCGAUAUCGCAUGAUAUUGAUUUGAAAGGUGCAAUUGCAUCACUAAGAGAUGGACCUGCGUUGUAUUAGCUAGUUGGUGAGGUAACGGCUCACCAAGGCGACGAUACAUAGCCGACCUGAGAGGGUGAUCGGCCACACUGGGACUGAGACACGGCCCAGACUCCUACGGGAGGCAGCAGUAGGGAAUCUUCGGCAAUGGGGCAACCCUGACCGAGCAACGCCGCGUGAGUGAAGAAGGUUUUCGGAUCGCAAAGCUCUGUUGUAAGAGAAGAACGAGUGUGAGAGUGGAAAGUUCACACUGUGACGGUAACUUACCAGAAAGGGACGGCUAACUACGUG
This 496-nucleotide ribosomal RNA is filed under the name uncultured bacterium. Its description in RNAcentral is "partial 16S ribosomal RNA". It matches the Rfam family "Bacterial small subunit ribosomal RNA", at positions 28 to 507 of the family's 1533-position model. The record is from RNAcentral.